This 400-nucleotide ribosomal RNA is filed under the name uncultured bacterium. RNAcentral describes it as "bacterial SSU rRNA". It matches the Rfam family "Bacterial small subunit ribosomal RNA", at positions 356 to 773 of the family's 1533-position model. The record is from RNAcentral.
GGGGAAUAUUGCGCAAUGGGGGAAACCCUGACGCAGCAACGCCGCGUGAAGGAUGAAGGCUUUCGGGUUGUAAACUUCUUUGAUGAGGGAAGAAAAUGACGGUACCUCAAAAACAAGCCACGGCUAACUACGUGCCAGCAGCCGCGGUAAUACGUAGGUGGCAAGCGUUAUCCGGAAUUACUGGGUGUAAAGGGCGUGUAGGCGGGUAGACAAGUCAGAUGUGAAAUUCCAGGGCUCAACCCUGGCGCUGCAUCUGAAACUGUUUACCUUGAGUAUCGGAGAGGAAAGUGGAAUUCCUAGUGUAGCGGUGAAAUGCGUAGAGAUUAGGAGGAACACCAGUGGCGAAGGCGACUUUCUGGACGAUUACUGACGCUGAGGCGCGAAAGCGUGGGGAGCGAAC